RNAcentral lists this ribosomal RNA (482 nucleotides) under uncultured bacterium. RNAcentral describes it as "partial 16S ribosomal RNA". It matches the Rfam family "Bacterial small subunit ribosomal RNA", at positions 28 to 507 of the family's 1533-position model. The record is from RNAcentral.
GACGAACGCUGGCGGCGUGCUUAACACAUGCAAGUCGAACGAUGAAGAAGAGAAACGCGAACUUCGGUUCAAAUUUCACUUCGGAUUAGUGGCAGACGGGUGAGUAACGCGUGAGCAACCUACCUCUUACAAAGGGAUAGCCUCGGGAAACCGUGAUUAAUACCAUAUGACACAUUCAUAAGGCAUCUUAAGAAUGUUAAAGCUACGGCGGUAAGAGAUGGGCUCGCGUCCCAUUAGCUAGUUGGUGAGGUAACGGCCCACCAAGGCGACGAUGGGUAACCGGCCUGAGAGGGUGAACGGUCACAUUGGAACUGAGACACGGUCCAAACUCCUACGGGAGGCAGCAGUGGGGAAUAUUGCACAAUGGAGGGAACUCUGAUGCAGCGAUGCCGCGUGAGCGAUGAAGGAAUUCGUUUCGUAAAGCUCUGUUCUAUGGGAAGAAAAGGACUGUACCAUAGGAGAAAGCCCCGGCUAAAUACGUG